AGGAUGAACGCUGGCGGUGUGCCUAAUACAUGCAAGUCGAGCGAAUGGAUUAAGAGCUUGCUCUUAUGAAGUUAGCGGCGGACGGGUGAGUAACACGUGGGUAACCUGCCCAUAAGACUGGGAUAACUCCGGGAAACCGGGGCUAAUACCGGAUAACAUUUUGAACCGCAUGGUUCGAAAUUGAAAGGCGGCUUCGGCUGUCACUUAUGGAUGGACCCGCGUCGCAUUAGCUAGUUGGUGAGGUAACGGCUCACCAAGGCAACGAUGCGUAGCCGACCUGAGAGGGUGAUCGGCCACACUGGGACUGAGACACGGCCCAGACUCCUACGGGAGGCAGCAGUAGGGAAUCUUCCGCAAUGGACGAAAGUCUGACGGAGCAACGCCGCGUGAGUGAUGAAGGCUUUCGGGUCGUAAAAYUCUGUUGUUAGGGAAGAACAAGUGCUAGUUGAAUAAGCUGGCACCUUGACGGUACCUAACCAGAAAGCCACGGCUAACUACGUGCCAGCAGCCGCGG
RNAcentral lists this ribosomal RNA (514 nucleotides) under Bacillus mycoides. RNAcentral describes it as "bacterial SSU rRNA". It matches the Rfam family "Bacterial small subunit ribosomal RNA", at positions 26 to 520 of the family's 1533-position model. The record is from RNAcentral. Lineage: Bacteria; Bacillati; Bacillota; Bacilli; Caryophanales; Bacillaceae.